This 253-nucleotide ribosomal RNA is filed under the name uncultured bacterium. RNAcentral describes it as "partial 16S ribosomal RNA". It matches the Rfam family "Bacterial small subunit ribosomal RNA", at positions 524 to 776 of the family's 1533-position model. The record is from RNAcentral.
UACGUAGGGGGCAAGCGUUGUCCGGAUUUAUUGGGCGUAAAGAGCGUGUAGGCGGCCAGACAGGUCCGUUGUGAAAACUCGAGGCUCAACCUCGAGACGCCGGUGGAAACCAUCAGGCUAGAGUCCGGAAGAGGAGAGUGGAAUUCCUGGUGUAGCGGUGAAAUGCGCAGAUAUCAGGAAGAACACCCGUGGCUAAGGCGGCUCUCUAGUACGGUACUGACGCUGAGACGCGAAAGCGUGGGGAGCGAGCAGG